UCCCUGGUGGUUCAGUGGUUAGGACUUGGUGUUUUCACUGCCCAGAGCCUGGGUUUGAUCCCUGGUUGGGGAA
Bos taurus (domestic cattle) is the source of this 73-nucleotide non-coding RNA. The record is from Rfam. NCBI's taxonomy places the organism in Eukaryota, Metazoa, Chordata, Mammalia, Artiodactyla, Bovidae.